This is an RNA transcript of Salvelinus fontinalis (brook trout), 1437 nucleotides long. It is a transcript of the gene named T-cell leukemia translocation-altered gene protein homolog, with no coding region annotated. Lineage: Eukaryota; Metazoa; Chordata; Actinopteri; Salmoniformes; Salmonidae. The transcript is spliced from 4 exons. The record is from RefSeq and is a predicted model, not a curated record.
CGUUCCCGGAAGUCUCGCGAUGUUGCGUCUCUGGGUUUAGAAUCUCUGAAAUAAGUAGCUAACAGUAAAAGCAAAUAUUUACAUCUGUGAGUUCACUCAUAUUUUUGACGAAUUGUAACAGUCAGCCAUAACGUUAGCUGGUUUAGGUAAGGCAUGUUUUUUGACAAAUCAUACACGUUGGGUGGCGUUUUAUAAAAUGGAAGAGCCGUGGGAUUUCGAGUUUUUAUCCCGUAUUGUGGACGGGUUUGUGUCUUUUCUUUCCGAAUUUGUGGAUGACUGGUUGGCUAAUGAUAUGAGAGUGUCAAUAUUCAAGAUCUUGUUUAGCUGGCUUGUUGUCAGUCUCAUUGCCAUCCACUUCGCUUGGAGAGUUUACGGAAACACUGUGAACGAUAUGUAUUACCGACAAGGUACUGGUGGACAGAAUGGAGGCACACCUGACACUGCACCUCACCGCAGUGGAUGGUAGGUGUCCAAGCAUCCAUGUGUCUCCCUCCAGAUGAACGUGGUACCUUCAGGCGUUUGGAAAUUGCUCCCAAGGAUGAACCAGACUUGUGGAGGUCUACAAUUUUUUUCUGAGAUCUUGGCUGAUUUCUUUUGAUUUUCCCAUGAUGUCAAGCCAAGAGGCACCAAGUUUGAAGGGAGAGUGCUGCAGGAGACACCAUCAAGACACACCGUGAGUGACAGUCAGGACAUAACAAGUUGGACUACAUUCUACUUGCUCUUUGUCUAAUCAGACAGUGUUGCUGAGUGGACACAAACUUGAUAUGUUGUGCCUUUUCAAAUGGGCUGGAGUUCAUUGAGGUGGGCCUGCAGACGCUUCCUUACUCUACGCUGAAAAAUAAUUUUCCCCGGACGGUUGUCAUGAAGAGGUGCCUGUUAUCAGGCUCAGUUUACAUCCAGACAGCCACACCAUGCGAUAAGCUAAGAUAUUCUCUCAUAUGCCAUAUCUUUUUAAAUCUCAUAUUUUAAAAUGUAGCUCAUGUAAAUUUUUACCGCCUUUGAUUGGUGAGUCAUUAAAAUAUCUAUCCAAGUCUAUGUCCUCUGAUUGGUUGUAGAUUGAACUGAAAUGUUAUUCUGAUCUACCGGUAGACAGAAUCUGAAAAGACUCGACAACUGCUGUGAGUUGUGACUGCUGUUAUGUUCACAACAUGUUAUUGUAUGAAUAAGGAGCUGUUUUUAUUUCCACUGGAGCAAGGCUACAUAGUAAUCCAUGAAGAGUGCGCUGGAGCAAGACUACUGUGGAGAAAGUGGUCAGAGAUUAGAAGCCUUACAUCAAAUGGCAGCUCCCCUCAAACUCUGAUUUCUUUUUCUUGACAGACUCAUAUUAUUAUACUCGUUGUACACCCCUUCUAUGGCUGGAACCUCCAUAUUGAGAAGGAGCAAAUGCAUGAGGCCUCUGACUGUCUUCUGAUUGCUAUAAAAAUAUAAAACAGUGAA